Molecule: long non-coding RNA, 807 nt
Organism: Alosa alosa (allis shad)
Lineage: Eukaryota; Metazoa; Chordata; Actinopteri; Clupeiformes; Clupeidae
Exons: 3
Source: RefSeq, a predicted model, not a curated record
AGAUCUAGGAUGGGCGGGGCCAGGGUACUGACAACAAGGCUAUCACCAGAAAAUCAUUCGACAGGACUUGGAACUAGGCUACAUUCUCAUUCAGGCAUUCUUAUUCAGGAUUGCAGAAGUAGUGCUUUGCCUGAACGAGGACAUAGUUCCAGACUGGGCGACGGGUCCCCACUGUGAGGUGUGUCGGCCGGGCAGCUUCGGCUCGGCGCUGGCAAGUGGCGGAGGCUGCGUGUCGUGCCAGUGUAACGGCCACAACCAGACAGGCCAGUGCUACUGCAACCACUACACCCAGGGCCCGCACUGCGACACCUGCCUGCCCGGCUACUACGGGGACCCCAGCCUGCCCUGCAGUGUAAGUGGUGCACCAACUGCCCUGAGGGCGCGUGCAUGAGCAGCACCGUGAGCUGCACAUCGGAGCACGACUGCAAGAUCAACCAGCGUGAGGUCUUUCUGUCCAGCAACUGCGCCGAGACCAGCUGCGAGGCCUCCAACUGCCCCAAGUGCACCUCCUCUGGGAAAUGCAUGUGGACGCGUCAGUUCAAACGAGUGCCUGGCCUCCCACGGGGCCGACGGGGGCUGGCAGCACUGCAUCUGGAGCAUGGCACUGCAGCAGCCAGCACAGUCACAAACAGGGCGGGGCGUCUGUGUGUGUGCCUGACUGUGCUCAGGAUCAUGUUGUCUUGUGGUACCCCACUCACCCUCUGCUCUAUGAGGGUACAUUUGGUGCAAAACUCCUAAGCGCUUGCUGUCUAAAGCUUGAAUCCGCCCUCUAGCUCUACAGAUACAAAUAAAAGUUACGGGUACGAA